Molecule: RNA transcript, 2813 nt
Organism: Hypanus sabinus (Atlantic stingray)
Lineage: Eukaryota; Metazoa; Chordata; Chondrichthyes; Myliobatiformes; Dasyatidae
Gene: pln1
Gene name: phospholamban
Exons: 2
Source: RefSeq, a predicted model, not a curated record
CCUUAUGUCAGAUGUUUGACUUUUUUAUGAUUAAAUACGGUUGAGAGUAGGCUUCUGAGUUUAAUCCAAUAAAGACUCAUAUAUCAGCCUGUAACAAUACAAACCACGCCCCUUAAAGUUUCUGUUGUCCCCACCCACUUGGUUUAACUGUAAUAAACUUUGAGCUACUCAGAUGAAAAUCGUACAGCACACCGACACUACUUGAUCACAGCCACCCUGCAGCUUACACCCCUAACCCACUGAGCCCCUACCAAGGGAGGAAUGAGCACAAAGGAAAACUGGCAAUAAAUUGGAAUGAUGAUAUGAAUCCUUCAGACGACUAAAACGUGACACCAAUUGUUUCUGCGACAGGAGAUAUAACUUAAUUCCCUGCGUUCCAUCAAGGUUGUGGCUGUGCUGGUGCAAGUCAAUAUAAAGAAUGGAUUACCUGAUGAACAACAGAGGUCUCAGCCUGCUUCUGAAUUUUCUUCUAAUUGUCAUUGUGUUGUUACUAAUGUUUAUUAUUGUCAAACUCAUCUGAUCCUUUAUUUCUGCUAAGUUCACUGAAGAAAACUCACUGUGGUGAUUGCAGUUUUCAGAAGUAGAAAGGAGGACUUGAUCUCAAUCAUACUAUUCAUCUGAGAUGUGCAGAGCUCCACGUUUGACGAAAGCACUCACGUUCUACAAAGACUCUUGCAAUGAUUGCCAUUUUUAAAUGCGCAAGUCCUUUCCUGGAAGGACACAUCUAUUAAGAAAUAUUAAAGUUAAUAAAAAUGUGUUGUCUCUUCCAGGAACAUCCUCAAUAAGUUCCAAAACCAUAUAAAAUCAUUUUCUUUCUUAAUCCAUCAAAUAUUAAUAUAAUCAAAAUUUAUGGAUGUUAGCUGAUUGAUAAUCAAUAGGCUAUUGUGUCGGGACCAUUACCCCUUCAUUCAGAAGUGCAUUUCUGUCCAAACGUACUAUUGAACUAUGCCUUUGAUGAAGAACGAUUCUAAAAUAAUAGUUGAUAUGAAACAUUAUCGAGAUAUUUGUGCUCUUCAUUUCAGGAGCCCAAUAUUUAAACAAUCAAGAUCAGGGGAGGGGUGUGGAAAGCAACACUGUGUUAAUGAGUUUCUAAACUGAUUCAAAAGCCCUCUCCUUUAAUCUGCCCACAAUAUUUGGUUUCCGUUUCUCUAUUUCUUAGCUUGUGAAUCUUGAGGCAAAGCAGUAACUAACCCCUGUUCCAAUGUAACAGGGGUAGUUACAUAUGAGAAAUAAAUGCUGAAAAGCAUUAAUUAUUCACCGUCUUUGACUCUUCUAGAAAACCAAGGGACGAGCAGUAAAUGUUGGCCUUGCCAUCAAAGCCCAGAUACCAAAGAUUAAAGGUUGAUUUAUUCCAGAGUAGAUUUGUACCAGUUUCAAUUUUAAGUAACAUUUACCACAGAGCUGAUGCCUGGGGCCCUGGAUUCAAUAAAAGAUAAACCAAGUUGCAUUCAACACUCCUUUGUUCAAUAAGACAAACGCAGAAUAAUGGCAUUAAUUUUACAUUUGUGCUGUGCAUGUGGAGGAAGUAAAUACAAAGCAGUUUUGGGCAGAGAAUCAUGUUAGGUCAUUAGCACUAAAAAGGUGUAUACUGUAUCACAUAACAUUAAAUGAUUGGCAGACACUAUAUGGCCCAUUCAGGACCAGUAGUUAAAGAUAAACUUAAGUCAUCCCUCCCAACUGAUCUCCAUCUUGGUACUAAUCCCUGCAAGUGGGAUAAGCGAUAUACCUGUCCCUACACCUUCUCCCUCACUACCUUGCAGGGCCCUAAGCUGUCCUUCAAAAGCAGCUGAAGCAACAUGUCACCUGUGAGUCUGCUGGGGCCAUCUACUGCAUCAGGUGCAGCCUCCUCUACCUCGAUAAGACCAGAAGUAGAUUGGUGACCCACUUCAUCAAAAGGCCUGUCACAAAAGGCGAGAUUUCCCAAUGCCCACUGAUUUUAAUUCAGCUUCCCAUCCCAGCAUCAGCUGUAGUAUUUAUGAAUUGCAGAGUCUGAGCUGAGUGCCUCCCCUCUGCUCACUUUAACAAAGCGGACAUCUACGUCACGCUCAAGGGAUUUCAAGCAUCAUGUCAGCUUCACAACUCUUAAUGACUUCAACAAGUUCAGAAGUGAAUUAAGAAACUUCACGCAUGAAUUCUUUAGAGAAGUUCCAAGUUCAAUACUACAAGGCUUUUCUUUAAUAAAUUUGAGUAACAUAACUGACGUUGCUUUCAGAAACUCCUUUAGAAAUGAAACGUCCUGUGCUAUAUGACAGAAUUUCUACAGACACAAGAUAUACAAGAUGCUGUGAGAUUUUGGUACUGUGAGAUCCCUCCAUUGUGGGAUACGUUCUGAGCCACCACCGAGUCAAUUUCACUUUGACGAACUCCUCUGCAAGCUGCAUUUUUCAAUAUUCUUCCUCCUCACCAGAUAUGGGAAAAGCUCAAUGCCAGUCUUCAAUGGAAGCUGUACAAAUACUUAUCACUUGUUGCUAUUCUCUCUGGACAGAGUGGCCUUCAGGCAUUUCAUCUAUUUCUGAUGAUUCAUUGGCUUUAUAGCUCUUCUAGCAAACGUAUGGCAACAGCAAAAGCAGCCAUUACAGUCAAGGAGACAACUCAACAAAAUGCCCAAGGUUGAAGCCGCAUGUUGUUGGACUAAAGCAAAUUUUUGAUUCCUCAUCUGUCACAGAGUACCUCAGGUGCUGUAAGCAAACAUUAGAAUAUUAAGGCUCAUUGUUUCCCAAAUGACUAUCAUCAAUGCUCAAAGAAUGCAAACUAUGCCUCCACUUGCAAGUAUUUUCCUAAUGUGUCAAUAAACUUCCCAAUAUUUGACAAUU